UACGAAGGGGGCUAGCGUUGCUCGGAAUCACUGGGCGUAAAGCGUGCGCAGGCGGUGAUGUAAGACAGGUGUGAAAUCCCCGGGCUUAACCUGGGAACUGCAUUUGUGACUGCAUCGCUGGAGUGCGGCAGAGGGGGAUGGAAUUCCGCGUGUAGCAGUGAAAUGCGUAGAUAUGCGGAGGAACAUCGAUGGCGAAGGCAAUCCCCUGGGCCUGCACUGACGCUCAUGCACGAAAGCGUGGGGAGCAAACAGG
Molecule: ribosomal RNA, 253 nt
Filed under: uncultured bacterium
Lineage: Bacteria
Description: partial 16S ribosomal RNA
Rfam family: Bacterial small subunit ribosomal RNA
Source: RNAcentral